AUGGAGAAGAUUUUUGACAGAAAGAAGCGGAGGUCCAGAAGGACUAACCAGCUCGAGACUGAGAAAGCACAGAAAGAAGUCGAGGUCCAGAAGGCGAUGGAGGAAAACGUGAGGCUACGUGCCAUGGUCGACAAGAAGGACGCUCAGCUCCAGGAGAUGAGCGAGCAGUGCAAGUUCAUGGAUUUGAACCAUCCAAACUUGUGGAAGACAGACACACCAGAUAAGAAACCUGCACUUGUCCAACUGAUGUCACUUACAGUUAUAUUGCCGCGGCAGCGGAAAAUACAUAUAUCCCUGGAUGUCCCGAAUAACCGAUGGUGA
This 321-nucleotide ribosomal RNA is filed under the name Triticum aestivum (bread wheat). RNAcentral describes it as "partial small subunit ribosomal RNA". The record is from RNAcentral. Lineage: Eukaryota; Viridiplantae; Streptophyta; Magnoliopsida; Poales; Poaceae.